GCCUGGGUGGCUCAGUCUGUUGAGCAUCUGACUUCGGCUCAGGUCAUGAUCUUGCGGUCUGUGAGUUCAAGCCCUGCCUCAGGCU
Molecule: transfer RNA, 85 nt
Filed under: Felis catus (domestic cat)
Lineage: Eukaryota; Metazoa; Chordata; Mammalia; Carnivora; Felidae
Rfam family: tRNA
About the family: Transfer RNA (tRNA) molecules are approximately 80 nucleotides in length. Their secondary structure includes four short double-helical elements and three loops (D, anti-codon, and T loops). Further hydrogen bonds mediate the characteristic L-shaped molecular structure. tRNAs have two regions of fundamental functional importance: the anti-codon, which is responsible for specific mRNA codon recognition, and the 3' end, to which the tRNAs corresponding amino acid is attached (by aminoacyl-tRNA synthetases). tRNAs cope with the degeneracy of the genetic code in two manners: having more than one tRNA (with a specific anti-codon) for a particular amino acid; and 'wobble' base-pairing, i.e. permitting non-standard base-pairing at the 3rd anti-codon position.
Source: Rfam by way of RNAcentral